UACGUAGGUGGCAAGCGUUGUCCGGAUUUACUGGGCGUAAAGGGCGCGUAGGCGGCCGUUCAAGUCGGGGGUGAAAGCCUGUGGCUCAACCACAGAAUGGCCCUCGAUACUGGAUGGCUCGAGACCGGAAGAGGUUGGUGGAACUGCGAGUGUAGAGGUGAAAAUUCGUAGAUAUUCGCAAGAACACCAGUGGCGAAGGCGGCCAACUGGUCCGGUUCUGACGCUGAGGCGCGAAAAGCGUGGGGGAGCAAACAGG
This 256-nucleotide ribosomal RNA is filed under the name uncultured bacterium. RNAcentral's name for it is "partial 16S ribosomal RNA". It matches the Rfam family "Bacterial small subunit ribosomal RNA", at positions 524 to 776 of the family's 1533-position model. The record is from RNAcentral.